AGAGUUUGAUCCUGGCUCAGAUUGAACGCUGGCGGCAUGCUUUACACAUGCAAGUCGAACGGCAGCACAGGGAGCUUGCUCCCGGGUGGCGAGUGGCGCACGGGUGAGUAAUACAUCGGAACGUGUCCUGUUGUGGGGGAUAACUGCUCGAAAGGGUGGCUAAUACCGCAUGAGACCUGAGGGUGAAAGCGGGGGAUCGCAAGACCUCGCGCAAUUGGAGCGGCCGAUGCCGAUUAGCUAGUUGGUGAGGUAAAGGCUCACAAGGCGACGAUCGGUAGCUGGUCUGAGAGGACGACCAGCCACACUGGGACUGAGACACGGCCCAGGACUCCGUACGGGAGGCGA
RNAcentral lists this ribosomal RNA (345 nucleotides) under uncultured bacterium. Its description in RNAcentral is "bacterial SSU rRNA". It matches the Rfam family "Bacterial small subunit ribosomal RNA", at positions 8 to 351 of the family's 1533-position model. The record is from RNAcentral.